Long non-coding RNA from Lycium barbarum (goji berry), 845 nucleotides. RefSeq lists it as uncharacterized. Lineage: Eukaryota; Viridiplantae; Streptophyta; Magnoliopsida; Solanales; Solanaceae. The transcript is spliced from 2 exons. The record is from RefSeq and is a predicted model, not a curated record.
UCCAUAUUUUAAGAAAGGAAGAUUUUUCUUCCUUUGACAAAUUAUACAUUGGCAACAAUUGUGGACUUGGCUAACAAGCCAAUUUCUUUGUUCACAUUUUCAUGAUGUAAGCGCUUACCUCAUCAUAAUCGUGAUGUAAGCGCUUACCUCACCAUAGGAAAUUCAUUCCUAUAAAUAGGCAGCUUAUGGUUCAUUUGUAACACACCAAAAUCUCAGACAAUACAUCUGAGUGAGAGCAAAAGUGAGUUAUUCCAUAGACGGUAAGAAAAUAGUCUGUGAAGAAAAAUAGAGUGUGAGUGAUAUUGUAGUGAGGUGGGAAAAUCAAAAGAGUGUUAUUUCUUUUGAGGGUGUAGUGGUCUUAGGAGUAUUUGUACUCGUUACUACACAGUGUAAAAUUCCUCUAUAGUGAUAUCAGCUGCUCCUCUUGGCCGUGGUUUUUCCCUUAUUCAGAAGGGUUUCCACGUAAAAUCUUGGUGUCAUUAUUGCUGCAUUUUAUUCUUGCUGAUUUAACCAUAAGAUCAGGCAUGACCUAAAUGGAGACAGAGGAAGUAGAAGCUAAUCGGUGGAAUUGGAUUUCUUUGCGAUAUGCUCAAUCGGACUUGGCUCCGCUCCAGUAUAGGGACUGUCCAGUUUGUCAAGUGGACCUUUAAUCUGCUGACAUCUGGACACUUACAGAUCUAAGGGUCAUUAAUUGUUCAACCAAAAAAGCAUCUUAAACCAUGGUUAGGCCACACACUAGUUAAUAUUUAAUAUUUUCUUAUCAGCAACAUUAUUAUAGGCGAGAAUCAUGCUACUUUUCAGUCUUCUGAUUUUCUUUAUUCCCAACAAAAAUUGAAGAUAUCUCA